Mesocricetus auratus (golden hamster) is the source of this 3043-nucleotide long non-coding RNA. RefSeq lists it as uncharacterized. NCBI's taxonomy places the organism in Eukaryota, Metazoa, Chordata, Mammalia, Rodentia, Cricetidae. The record is from RefSeq and is a predicted model, not a curated record. The transcript has 2 exons.
CGGGUUUCUCCUUUUCGGAGCUGGACGAAAAAGAUGCUUCUUUCUCGCCAGUGGGCGCUCGGACACUCGGGGGCGUGACGGGAUCGCGCAGGGUGUCGCCGGCCCGCCGUGGAAGGCGCUGCCCAAACCCUACCCCGACUUUCCCCGACGCGUGAGUCAAGUCUACCUGGAACCUGGUAGAUAACCAUUGUCAGCACCCAGGGCCGAGAAUCUGGAGGUUAGCUAAGAGAGGAAGAAGUGGGUGGGAUGAAAGGAAGCGAGCUGACAGCUGUCCUAGUGGAGGAACUUUUAAAAGCCAGAUAAAAACAGGCUGCCAUGAGGAGUCGUAGAGACUAUCAGAGCGGUAGCCCUGGUCAUCUUUUGUUUUGUUCUCUUGAUAAAGUACAAUAAUCUUUUCCCUCCUUGAACUUUUUUCUAUUUUGCAUCUGACUGAAAUUGUUCCAUUCAUUUGUUUUUGGAGUUGAAGUGUCUGUUUUCUCUGCACUGGAUCGCCUUCCAACUUCCAGCCCUUAGGAAUUGUUGGUCCGACUUGCAACUGUUCAAAGAGACAAAUGACUUCACCAGUCUCUAUACGAUAUUCCUUUAACUCAGGGACUCCAAGUCAGAAUCUGUAUCUGGACACCUCGGUGAAGACCAGGACAAGAGACUGCUGAGCCACCACCUUGGUCGUGGAAACUGCUUUUUGCAAUCGGCAGUGGUUAAUUCAGACGCUCGAAACUGGUGAAAGGGCUGAGAUUAAGAAGCACUGAGCAUGGGAUAUUUAUAUGAACACCCCCUUUCGGGGGUCAUGGUAGAAGAGGGUGCAGAAAGAAUGUAGGAGCGGAGGGAUUGGGAGCAGUUCUGUGAAAUGCUGUCUUCCGGCUAUGAUACGGAUGUUGCACUCAGGAACUCACAGCAAGUUUCUUCACCUGUUCAAGACAUGCACACGAUGGAGCCUGUCAACAUUCCAGCCGACCAGGGAGGGCCACUAGUGAGGUUAUUGGAAGUUAAUGGGUGCGGAGAGAUAUCAUCUAUUUUCUUCCAGUAAAGAACCCCACAACCAUGCUUAUGUAAGCAACCCUAAUUAAACUCAGUGAGUCAUUAAAAAAAAAAGCAGGAUUUCAAAGUAAAGUCUGGGCAUGCUCAGUUAAGAAUUUAUUUGCGGGCCUGAGGAAAUGGCUCAGCUAGUAAGGGCAUGUGGCGCCAAGACUAAUGCCCCGAGUUUGGCCCUGAGAUCCUACAUAUUAGAAGCAAAGAACUGACACCCACAGACUGUCCUGAUCUCCACACAGGCUUUGGUGACCUUCUCCCAAGAGCUGAGAAUAAGCACGUGUACCAUUAUGUUUGACUCGUAAUCCUUAUAUUUGUGAGACGUAUUCCAGAGCUUUUUCAAGCCACUGAUAUUCACAUUUGACUAGAUAUGUAAAUAGGUGAAACUCCGUUUCAUUAUUAAGAAAGCUAGGCUUCAGAGAAGUCAAACAGCUUGCUUAGAAUCCCGUGUCUAAUAAUUAAUAGAAGGUGGACCUCCAUCUGUGCUUUCUGUUACCAAAGCCUGUGUAGAGUUUGAUUUCAUUUGCUAACUUGGUUUGGAUGGUUUUACUAAUACCUUCAAAAUCGAAAUGAACAGUCAAAAUAAAAUCUAAUGUAUUUAUCCAAAGACAUUUCAGGAAUCUAUCAUCAAUGAACCCAAGUAAUCUUUACCAGGCUUGAGUUUUUUAAAAAGAAAACCAUACAGUUGAAUAAUUAAAAAUAAUCAAAUCAAUGUCUUUAAUUGACUUUCAGCCCCCGCCCCGUUUGGGUUGAAAAGGGGUUCACUGAAUAUAUCAUAUAUAUUUAAACACAUUAUCACCACCCUAAGUGUAACUCUCAGUUAUGUCUAGAUUAGAUCACUGCAUCUAUUUCUGCAUCCUGAGUAUAACAAUUUUAAUAAUUUGUUGUACAUUCUCUUCUGUGACACACUCAAGUGUGAAGCCAUUGAGAUGCUAUAGAAACUGACUCAGGGUGCAAACAUCUUCACGAGAUGAGUGUCUGGAGAACUGGCUGUUUCACUGACUUGCCUUUGGCAUUAGAAAGUUGCAAUUGGGCAGUAGAAAGCAGCUUGCCUCAAAUAUACUCUGUGUUGACAGCUGUGUUUCUCAAUCACUCUGACCAAGGAGUGGCUCCGAGGCACCCAGAGGGUUCCUGGAUAUCACAUUCAAUAUAGCUCCCGCACAAGUCACAUAAUGCCCAAGUCACUGGCUGCUUACAUGCGACUUUAGUGCUUCAGGAUGCCCCUUAGUGUCCAUUCCAUGGUUUUUAUUAGCAUUUUAACCAUCAAAAUGUCCACUUGCAGAGGCUGGAAAGAUGGCUUAGUGGUUAAGAGUGUUUCCUGUUCUUCCAGAGGACCAGUGUAACGUGAGUUUUCCAGAUUGCCAAAAUGUCUCAGUAAGUAUAAGUGCUUGUGCUAAGUCUAGAGACCUGAGUUUGAUCCCCAGGGACCCAAACCUACAUUGUGGAAGAAGAGAGCAGACUCCUGAAACUUGUCCUCUAUCAACAACACAUACAUACACAAUCAAUCAAUUGACCAAUAUAAUUUUAAACUGUUGAAUUAUUCAGUUCUAUUCUACGUGUGGGGGUUCAUGCCUGUGAUCUCAGCACUGAGGAGGCAGAACCAGGAGGAUCAAGAAUCUAGAGACAGCUUGGAAUACACAAUGAUAACUGUCUCGGGUUUUUUGUUUUGUUUUGUUUUGUUUUAUUCAUUUCUUGGGGCUGGAGAAAUGGCUCAGCAGCUAAAAGCACUUGCUGCUCUUGGAGAGGACCCAGGUUCAGUGGCCAGCACACACACAGAGGCUUACCACCAUCAGUAAGUCCUGUCCCAGUGAUCCAGCAUCCUCUUCUGGCCUCCUCAGGUGACCUGACAAUGCAGAGUGCCUCUGCUCCUAUGCCAGUGGCUCCAUUGCGUGUUGGAGUCCCAUUAUUGGGUUCAGUCGAAGGAACUGAAAUCAGUGUAUUGGAGAGGUGGCUGCACUCCCAUGCCUCCCAAGUUUCUUACAGCACUAUUCACAAUAGUAAAAUGUGGGAUCAA